This 503-nucleotide ribosomal RNA is filed under the name uncultured bacterium. RNAcentral describes it as "bacterial SSU rRNA". It matches the Rfam family "Bacterial small subunit ribosomal RNA", at positions 28 to 523 of the family's 1533-position model. The record is from RNAcentral.
GAUGAACGCUGGCGGCGUGGAUUAGGCAUGCAAGUCGAACGGUAUCAUCCUUUCGGGGGUGAGAGAGUGGCGAACUGGUGAGUAACACGUAGGUUAUCUACCCUCAAGACGGGGACAACCCAGGGAAACUUGGGCUAAUACCGGAUGUGAGCAACUUUUAGUUGUUUGAAAGGUGGCGUAAGCUGUCGCUUGGGGAUGAGCCUGCGUCCUAUUAGUUAGUUGGUGAGGUAACGGCUCACCUAGGCAAUGAUAGGUAGGCGGCCUUAACGGGGUGGUCGCCCACACUGGGAUUGAGAUACGGCCCAGACUCCUACGGGAGGCAGCAGUCGAGAAUAGUCUACAAUGGUCGGAAGACUGAUAGUGCGACGCCGCGUGAACGAUGAAUCCCUUCGGGGUGUAAAGUUCUUUUAUAUGUGAGCAGUGCUUCUUAUAUUAACAGUAUGGGGAAGAGAUAUUAGCAUAUGAAUAAGCAACGGCUAACUCCGUGCCAGCAGCCGCGGUAA